AGUGAACGCUGGCGGUAGGCCUAACACAUGCAAGUCGAACGGCAGCACAGUAAGAGCUUGCUCUUACGGGUGGCGAGUGGCGGACGGGUGAGGAAUACAUCGGAAUCUACUUUUUCGUGGGGGAUAACGUAGGGAAACUUACGCUAAUACCUCAUACGACCUACGGGUGAAAGCAGGGGAUCUUCGGACCUUGCGCGAUUGAAUGAGCCGAUGUCGGAUUAGCUAGUUGGCGGGGUAAAGGCCCACCAAGGCGACGAUCCGUAGCUGGUCUGAGAGGAUGAUCAGGCACACUGGAACUGAGACACGGUCCAGACUCCUACGGGAGGCAGCAGUGGGGAAUAUUGGACAAUGGGCGCAAGCCUGAUCCAGCCAUACCGCGUGGGUGAAGAAGGCCUUCGGGUUGUAAAGCCCUUUUGUUGGGAAAGAAAAGCAGCAGGUUAAUACCCCGCUGUUCUGACGGUACCCAAAGAAUAAGCACCGGCUAACUUCGUG
RNAcentral lists this ribosomal RNA (492 nucleotides) under uncultured bacterium. Its description in RNAcentral is "partial 16S ribosomal RNA". It matches the Rfam family "Bacterial small subunit ribosomal RNA", at positions 29 to 507 of the family's 1533-position model. The record is from RNAcentral.